Molecule: ribosomal RNA, 253 nt
Filed under: uncultured bacterium
Lineage: Bacteria
Description: partial 16S ribosomal RNA
Rfam family: Bacterial small subunit ribosomal RNA
Source: RNAcentral
UACGUAGGGUGCAAGCGUUGUCCGGAAUUAUUGGGCGUAAAGAGCGUGUAGGCGGCCCGACAAGUCCGCUGUGAAAGUCCAGGGCUCAACCCUGGAAUGCCGGUGGAUACUGUCGGGCUAGAGUCCGGAAGGGGCGAGUGGAAUUCCUGGUGUAGCGGUGGAAUGCGCAGAUAUCAGGAGGAACACCAAUAGCGAAGGCAGCUCGCUGGGACGUUACUGACACUAAGGCGCGAAAGCGUGGGGAGCGAACAGG